AGAGUUUGAUCAUGGCUCAGGAUGAACGCUAGCGGCAGGCUUAACACAUGCAAGUCGAGAGGCAUCGCGGGUGGCAACACCUGGCGGCGACCGGCGAACGGGUGAGUAACGCGUGAGCAACAUGUCCUCAGUCGGGGGAUAAGCGAGGGAAACUUCGUCUAAUACCCCAUAACACUUUCAGGCGCAUGCCUUUAAGUUGAAAGCUUUUUUUGCGACUUUGGUUUGGCUCGCGUGACAUUAGCUAGUCGGUGGGGUAACGGCUCACCGAGGCUACGAUGUCUAGGGGUUCUGAGAGGAAGGCCCCCCACAUUGGGACUGGGACACGGCCCAAACUCCUACGGGAGGCAGCAGUGAGGAAUAUUGGUCAAUGGACGGAAGUCUGAACCAGCCAUGCCGCGUGAAGGAAGACUGCCCUAUGGGUUGUAAACUUCUUUUGCAGCAGAGCAAUAAGGCGUACGCGUACGCCGAUGAGAGUAUGUUGCGAAUAAGCAUCGGCUAACUCCGUGCCAGCAGCCGCGGUAAUACGGAGGAUGCGAGCGUUAUCCGGAUUUAUUGGGUUUAAAGGGUGCGUAGGCUGUUUUGUAAGUCAGCGGUGAAAGACCGGGGCCCAACUCCGGAAGUGCCGUCGAUACUGCAUUGCUAGAGUUCCCCUGCCGUGGGAGGAAUGAGUGGUGUAGCGGUGAAAUGCAUAGAUAUCACUCAGAACACCGAUUGCGAAGGCAUCUCACGAAGAGGCAACUGACGCUGAGGCACGAAAGCGUGGGGAUCAAACAGGAUUAGAUACCCUGGUAGUCCACGCUGUAAACGAUGAUGACUAGCUGCCGGCGAUACACUGUCGGUGGCCCAGCGAAAGCGAUAAGUCAUCCACCUGGGGAGUACGACCGCAAGGUUGAAACUCAAAUGAAUUGACGG
This 912-nucleotide ribosomal RNA is filed under the name uncultured bacterium. Its description in RNAcentral is "bacterial SSU rRNA". It matches the Rfam family "Bacterial small subunit ribosomal RNA", at positions 8 to 916 of the family's 1533-position model. The record is from RNAcentral.